This 548-nucleotide small RNA is filed under the name Oryza sativa Japonica Group (Japanese rice). RNAcentral's name for it is "sRNA Os05g0574750". The record is from RNAcentral. Lineage: Eukaryota; Viridiplantae; Streptophyta; Magnoliopsida; Poales; Poaceae.
GGGAUACCGACCAGUCGGAGGAGAGGAAAUCGGGCACGUCCGAGGCGGAGGCGGAGACUCGGAACCGGGAAGCCGCCGCCGCCGCCGGCGGCAUCAGGGCCAGGAGCGUCGAUCUGAGACCUCCGCCGCCGCAGCGGCAGAUUGGGGCUGGCAGUAGAGCGACGGGUUUCGCGGCCGUGGGAGCGGACGACGCCAUGGCUGCCAUUACUCCGAUUUCCGUCUCUUUCCGCUGCUUCGUUUCUGUCUCCGGUUUAUUCAGGCCCGGAAAAUUUCACGCCGCUGAACUGAACUGACGCGUAGAAAAUCCUGAAUUUUCCUCUCGCGUCCAAAAAAGAGAGUUAACUUUCCUUGAGCCAAAGUUUUAUUUCGGAUUAUUUUUUUAAUCAUUUUACUUUGUACUAGAUAGCUUUUUUAUUUGUUACACAACGGAUCAUCUCAAACCACAUCUUUACCACUUAUGUCGGCGAACUUUCAUAUGUAUAUGCAUGUCAUAUAUUUAUGAAAGGAGACGCUAAAUAUAUCUAGCGAAUAUAGUUAAAGUGGUCCAU